Molecule: ribosomal RNA, 247 nt
Filed under: uncultured bacterium
Lineage: Bacteria
Description: partial 16S ribosomal RNA
Rfam family: Bacterial small subunit ribosomal RNA
Source: RNAcentral
AUACGGAGGGUGCAAGCGUUAUUCGGAAUUAUUGGGCGUAAAGAGCGCGUAGGCGGCCUCUUAAGUCAGAUGUGAAAGCCCGGGGCUUAACCCCGGAAGUGCAUUUGAAACUAAGUGGCUUGAGUAUGGGAGAGGGAAGUGGAAUUCCUGGUGUAGAGGUGAAAUUCGUAGAUAUCGGGAGGAAUACCGGUGGCGAAGGCGACUUUCUGGACGAAUACUGACGCUGAUGCGCGAAAGCGUGGGGAGC